RNAcentral lists this ribosomal RNA (433 nucleotides) under uncultured bacterium. RNAcentral describes it as "partial 16S ribosomal RNA". It matches the Rfam family "Bacterial small subunit ribosomal RNA", at positions 29 to 507 of the family's 1533-position model. The record is from RNAcentral.
AACGAACGCUGGCGGCAUGCCUAACACAUGCAAGUCGAACGAGACCUUCGGGUAUAGUGGCGCACGGGUGCGUAACGCGUGGGAACCUGCCCUUAGGUUCGGAAUAACUCCCCGAAAGGGGUGCUAAUACCGGAUAAUGUCUUCGGACCAAAGAUUUAUCGCCUUUGGAUGGGCCCGCGUUGGAUUAGCUAGUUGGUAGGGUAAAAGCCUACCAAGGCGACGAUCCAUAGCUGGUCUGAGAGGAUGAUCAGCCACACUGGGACUGAGACACGGCCCAGACUCCUACGGGAGGCAGCAGUGGGGAAUAUUGGACAAUGGGCGAAAGCCUGAUCCAGCAAUGCCGCGUGAGUGAUGAAGGCCUUAGGGUUGUAAAGCUCUUUUACACGGGAUGAUAAUGACAGUACCGGGAGAAUAAGCUCCGGCUAACUCCGUG